Molecule: long non-coding RNA, 2875 nt
Organism: Saccostrea cuccullata (small rock oyster)
Lineage: Eukaryota; Metazoa; Mollusca; Bivalvia; Ostreida; Ostreidae
Exons: 2
Source: RefSeq, a predicted model, not a curated record
ACAGUGUGUAUUUUUAAAUACCUUAUGAAUGAACACAUCAGGCAUUUGAGGAACAUUCAUCUCUCAAAUUUACUUAUUACCGUAGGCAUCUCAUAAAUUUUCAAAUAUUAGGCAUUAGAGGAACGGUCCUCUUCCAAUUUCAAAUAUUGAUACUAUAUACACCAUGUACACUGGAGGAACGUUCCUCUUCAAACUAUUGACACUGGAUUUACUAGUCUAAACACAACAUAUUUGAGGAACGUUCCUCAUCCAAUUUCAAAUAUUGAUACUAUAUACACUGGAGGAACGUUCCUCUUUCAACUUGACACUGUAUUUACAAGUUUUAACACACAAUAUCACAAACGUUCAUCAGUCAAUUUCAAUUGAUAAUACAUACUACAUGUAUAUAAACAGUACAUUUGAGGAACAUUCCUCUACCAAUUCCUAUCAAAACACUACUACCAUGAAUCUUAAUACAAUGAAUGUUCUUCUCCCCAUUUCAAAAUUUGACACUGGACUGGACAAACAUUCCUCUUCCAACUGUUGACAAUGGAUUCAUGUCGAAUACUCCUCUUCUGAUUUCAAAUGUUAUUAUAUAACUAUAUAUAUAAAUCAGAGUAUAAUUGGAUUUGAAGAAAGCUGUACACCCAGGUACUCCCUAACGUAAAAGAGUAGAUAAUCCUGUUGAUUUCAUAAAGUCAAAUUUCAAGGUUGAGACUAUUCUGACACAGAAAAAUAAUAUAUGCUUAAAAUUUUGGGAACCCUUUGCUUUACAGACAUCAAACUUAGUAUACUGGUACUCCCAAAGGAAUAAAGACCCCUACUGAUUUUGGGUUACAAGGUGAAAGCACAAGGCUCAAACUGAUCUAGAAAUAGAAAAGUAUUGUUUACUCAAUAUUGAAGUAACUUGAGAUUCUACUGUUUGAAAAAUAAUUUAAUGCACUAGAUCUGUAGUCCUCCUAAGAAAUAUAUGACAACUUUUAAUUUGGGGGUCAUAACUCGAUCACAAGAUCAAGUACGUGUCAUUCUUGACAAUUAAUAUUUUAGGAAAUCAUUUUUCACUCAAUUUUGUGAAAAGCCUCUUAUUAUUACAGACAUUAAACUCGUUGGUACCACUCCUUUAGGAGUAUACAUGAUCACAUUUUAUUUUGAAGUCACUUCUCUGGAUAUCAUAUAGGAAUGUAUAUCUAAUGCUGAAUAAAGAGUAAAUGUUUAUUUACAUUUUAAAUGAGAAAAAAGGGCAACUGUUUGAAUCGUGCAAGAGACAUAAAUCUACAACAAGGAAUUGAUCAAAAAAGUUAUACCAUUCCCCUGAUCCCCUGCAUUUACUAUUAUGAUAUAAAACUGUUGUAUACAGCAAUGCUUUCUUACACUAAAUUAAACAAUUUUCUUUAACAAUUGAAAUUUUAUGAUAUUUAUUAAAUGAAAAAAUCUUUCAGGAAAAGAAUCUUACCCUUAGCUUUUUUAGUAUAGUUCAUCCAAGAUUAAUUUAUGAAAAGUCAGUGCAUUGACCAGUAAAUUCUCUAUAAGUUGAACAUCCAUUGACAUUUGAAAAUCAUGCAUGUGUCUCUACUUACUUCAUCACGCAGUUUUUUGACCAAAACUAAUUAUAUAACUUUAUCACAGUAUAACACAGUAUAACACACAGAUAUAUCAAUGUCUAAUUUCUCCAAUUUCGAAUUCCCCUUCAAACGACAGUUGCAUUUAAAUGAUAGCUGUUCACAUGUGCAACUGCGACCCUUCCAUACAUAUUUGAAUGGAAACAUGUGGUGCCACUAACUGAAGAAAUGUCAAUCAAAACACUGCACACUGAUAAUCUUGGGUGUGUUAUCAGUCUUGGACACAUCCAUCUCUCAACCCUACCAAAAUGUUCACGAUUUCAAAUCAGAAGAUGAUUAUCACAUCGAAAGAUUGUUGAAUAAAACAGGAUGUUGCAGUUCUUCACAGUUAAGGAUUUAUUAAGGUAUAUAUGCAAAUAAUAUUAUUAUCAAUUUAUGAAAAUUCUUUGUAUGCUUUGUUUGCAUAAAAACUAAACUAAAAUAUUUUAUCAAUAACUUAGUCAGAGUUGAUCAAUCCUGCUGAAAUAUAAGCUGUCAGACACUUCCAAAUACCAGUAAAUUAAAAUGAGAAAUUUACUUUAAUUUUAGACAAAAUGAUAUGCCCUGGAUUUCAAUGUAAAAGAAAACGAAUACCCUCAUGACACCACUUGCAGCAACAUUUCAGAGAAAUGAUUAAAGUGUCGUAAACAAAUCAAAAGAUGACACCCAAGAAACUUGUUGAGGCUGUUUUACUUUGACUGAUGAAAAAAUGCUAUGAACCUUUGGAGACCAAGGAAUUGGAAUCGUCUCUAUUAUGAGGGAAAGAUGUAACUGAGAGAGAAACAUGGUUGACCUUCAUCACAACUUUGGUUUAAUUUCGUGGUAGAAAGGAAAAAUACUGUGGGUAUUAACCUGUUAACCAAGACAUUGUAAUAUGUGAUCACACUGCCAUUCAGUGAAAAAGCCCUUUGAGUUGAUACAUGAACACUGCACAUUGCACAUGCUUGUUCCGAAGUGGAAAAAUUUGUUUGUUCCUGUACCUAGUUUAUAUUAUGCUUUAAGAAAGCCUUAAUUUAUAAAAUGACAAAAUGAUUUUUCAUAUAUAUUUUGUAGAGUGUGUACAGAUAAAAAAUGUUUCUAUGAAUAUGUACUGCAUUUCAUAUAAAAGAGAGAAAUUUUCCCAAAUUCUUCAUGUACGAUAAAAACUAAUAUAAUAUCACAAAACACAUGAUAAUGUUAGAGAGGAACGUUCCUUUAAAGAUAUUUUUAAGUGGGCUUUGCAAUGUAUCAACAGAUAUUCAUUACAAGACAGAGGAACGUUCCUCAAAUGCACGGGUUGCAAGCUUCAUGAGGUAUAA